Long non-coding RNA from Bos taurus (domestic cattle), 1627 nucleotides. The record is from Ensembl. Lineage: Eukaryota; Metazoa; Chordata; Mammalia; Artiodactyla; Bovidae.
ACCAGCGAGGGUGUAUGGGGGCCUGGGGGCGCUAACGCCCUGGGCCUGUCUGCCCAGCACGCGGUCCCUUUGCUCCCUGUGCCCCAGCAGCACAGAAACCAUGAAGCACUGGCAGGUCCCCUAUGAGGUGCCAGCCUCAUCCACCUAAACUAAGGGUGGGCGUCCAAGCAUGGCUCCUGUGCCUACCAGGAAGGUGAACUAACUACCGGAAGUGCCAUCCUGACCUGCGGCCCCAAGCCUGGACAGCGUUUCCACCAGCUGGGGGUGGGGUGGGGGUGGGGAGCAAGGAGAGACUGGGAUGGGGAGGAGAAGGAAGACAACCCUCCGGACUGGAAGUUUGAAAUCCUCUCUUUAAAACACGAACUGGCGGGCUGGACUUCUUAUAUAACACUCCUUUAGUGACUGAAGCACUUGUCACAACCACCUUGGGGACCUAGCUUCAAUGUCCCCACUUUCAGGAAGUCAAGGUAUUUGCUCAGAUAGCACGUGGCUGAGCAGCGGCAGUAAAAUCAGAAUCCCCAUUUCCACUCUUAGACCAGUGAGCCCUCCUGCACCCACGACGGAGACUGAGGAGGAGAAAAAUAACCAGCCAUGCAAAAUCCAAAAAAAAAAAAAAAAUCCUUUCAAGAUUAUGAAAUCAAAGAGCAUUUUGUUGUUUCUUGGACGUUCUUCUUACUACUCUGAGGCCGCACAAUUCAACAGACAUCUCUUUAUUGUUGUUAAAGUACUUGCUCUAUCUCCUGCCUCUGUUACUAACUUUCACACCAACCGAGAACGCAAGCGUUUACCUGGGCUCCAUCCUUGGACGGCGAACGGGUCGCGCAGGCUUCCGGCCUCCUCCUCCCUGGGGUUUGGUUCCAAGGCUCCCGCAAAAUCUCGAAAUCACCCCGGAUCGGCGCGGCCACCGAGGGAAGCAGCCCGGCUCUGAACAAGCCCAGGCAAGCCCAGGCAGAGCCCGCUUCGCGGUCCUUCCUCCUGCGCGAACCACCCGGCCCCGGGGCGAGAGACGCGUCUCUCUGGCCCCAGAUCCGUGGAGUCGUCUCUCUCCAGAGGACCGGGCGCUGGCCCUCUCCUCCACCUGAGAAGGACAAGGGAGCAGAGCCACCGAAACGCCUUGACCUGGGCGGCUGACAGAUGAAGGAGUACAUUUGGGAGACUCCAGACUCCGUCCGUCUCCAUGGGCUUUCCCAGACAUCCUGAGUGGAGCAUUCAAGGAUAUGGUCCGAGAAGGUUCCUCUGCCAUCACCCAAGAGGAUGCCGGAGUUGAGAAUCCCUUCUUACCCCCCAGCUGGAAAGGCAGCCUCACUUUCCAGACCGGUGUCCACGAUUCAGAGCAGGAGGUCCAAAGCCAGGGCCCAAACACAGCAUCCCUGGGCUCGUCUGAAAGCCUUCACCCUCCCAGCCCUACCGAGGUGCCACACAGUCUUGUUCUUCUAUGGAGGUUUCCGCAAAUCGCGCCCCACACUUGGUGGCUGCUCCGUACAGAAGCAGGUGAAAAUGAUCCAUCCAAGGAUUCACGAAGACAGUCGCUGGUACCAGACCCCGGCUUGUCAUCCUUCCCAGCCGGGGAGGAAGGCUGCCUCCGGCUCCAGCCCUCAACUCCGAGGAAGUCGAGUCGUGCAGAAAA